CGCCCGUCUGAGGGUCGGCUAGACCCAAAGCAAUCGUCUCCUAGAAUCGGGACGCGGCAAUCUGCCGUAUGCGACCCGCGGAGGCGCCCUGGGCUCUCGAGGACUCUUUCGGGUUCCCCGUGGCCUCAAAUUCAUGCAGCGCCGUCACUGCUCUUCGACCAGUUUAGCAUCGACGGCUCCGCCGCACGGCAGGACUCGGAUUGCGUAGCUUUCUCUCAAACGAGCCUGCCUGCAGCUCUUUAAGGCGACCGUGUGUUGUUAUCCCGGUGGAGCGAGCGCUGGUGACGCGCCCCAUUGCGAAAUGAUAGGAGAUUUCCUUUCAUAUCUCCGACCUCAGAUCGGACGAGAUUACCCGCUGAAUUUAAGCAUAUAACUAAGCGGAGGAAAAGAAACUAACAAGGAUUUCCCCAGUAACGGCGAGUGAAGCGGAAAGAGCCCAGCACCGAAUCCCUCAGUGUCACGCUGACGGGAACUGUGGUGUGAGGGACGCCACCAGUCGCACCAGAGGGUACCGAAGUCCUCCUGAUCGGGGCUUCACCCAGAGUGGGUGUAAGGCCUUUGCUGGUACCUCUCGGUGCGGCCGCGAGCGUCUCAGGAGUCGGG
This 603-nucleotide ribosomal RNA is filed under the name Vertigo milium. RNAcentral's name for it is "eukaryotic LSU rRNA". The stretch from base 329 to 603 matches the Rfam family "Eukaryotic large subunit ribosomal RNA", at positions 1 to 269 of the family's 3401-position model. Lineage: Eukaryota; Metazoa; Mollusca; Gastropoda; Stylommatophora; Vertiginidae. The record is from RNAcentral.